GAUGAGCUUCGACAAGUCAUUUCUAGGUAUGAGGAGAUGGAAGCAGCUCUAGAUUCAGGAGAAGAACUGCCUAAAACACCUGAAAAUGGAAGUGGCCUGCCCAACACAGCUCCAGAGUCGGGAGAAAGACUGCCUAAAACACGCGAAAAUGAAAGUGGCCAGCCUAAUCUUGCUGAUACCAGCGAAGCCAAUUUAGAGAAGCUGUCUUUAAAUGCAAGUGAAAGUCAUGCUGUAGCACCUACAAAAGGAGAUAGCAAUCAGUCACUCCACGAGGUUGUAAAGCCGGGUAUU
RNAcentral lists this long non-coding RNA (291 nucleotides) under Solanum lycopersicum (tomato). RNAcentral describes it as "long non-coding RNA (SLYC_LNC000695)". The record is from RNAcentral. Lineage: Eukaryota; Viridiplantae; Streptophyta; Magnoliopsida; Solanales; Solanaceae.